GAUGAACGCUGGCGGCGUGCCUAACACAUGCAAGUCGAGCGAACAGAUAAGGAGCUUGCUCCUUUGACGUUAGCGGCGGACGGGUGAGUAACACGUGGGUAACCUACCUAUAAGACUGGGAUAACUUCGGGAAACCGGAGCUAAUACCGGAUAACAUUUGGAACCGCAUGGUUCUAAAGUGAAAGAUGGUUUUGCUAUCACUUAUAGAUGGACCCGCGCCGUAUUAGCUAGUUGGUAAGGUAACGGCUUACCAAGGCAACGAUACGUAGCCGACCUGAGAGGGUGAUCGGCCACACUGGAACUGAGACACGGUCCAGACUCCUACGGGAGGCAGCAGUAGGGAAUCUUCCGCAAUGGGCGAAAGCCUGACGGAGCAACGCCGCGUGAGUGAUGAAGGGUUUCGGCUCGUAAAACUCUGUUAUUAGGGAAGAACAAACGUGUAAGUAACUGUGCACGUCUUGACGGUACCUAAUCAGAAAGCCACGGCUAACUACGUG
This 497-nucleotide ribosomal RNA is filed under the name uncultured bacterium. Its description in RNAcentral is "partial 16S ribosomal RNA". It matches the Rfam family "Bacterial small subunit ribosomal RNA", at positions 28 to 507 of the family's 1533-position model. The record is from RNAcentral.